RNAcentral lists this ribosomal RNA (853 nucleotides) under uncultured bacterium. RNAcentral's name for it is "bacterial SSU rRNA". It matches the Rfam family "Bacterial small subunit ribosomal RNA", at positions 21 to 902 of the family's 1533-position model. The record is from RNAcentral.
GGCUCAGGACGAACGCUGGCGGCGUGCUUUACGCAUGUAAGUCGGACGGUGCCGCAAGGCACAGUGGCGAACGGCUGAGUAACACGUGAGUGACCUGUCCCGGUGUGGGGGAUAGCCGCUCGAAAGAGUGGGUAAUACCGCGUACGGUGUUUGGGGUAGAUCCUAGACAAGAAAGCAGAGAUGCGCACUGGGAGGGGCUCGCGGCCCAUCAGGUAGUUGGUGAGGUAACGGCUCACCAAGCCGAUGACGGGUAGCUGGUCUGAGAGGAUGAUCAGCCAGACUGGGACUGAGAUACGGCCCAGACUCCUACGGGGGGCAGCAGCGGGGAAUAUUGCACAAUGGGCGAAAGCCUGAUGCAGCGACGCCGCGUGAGGGAAGAAGGUCUUCGGAUUGUAAACCUCUUUUGUCGGGGAAGAUGAUGACGGUACCCGGCGAAUAAGCCCCGGCUAACUACGUGCCAGCAGCCGCGGUAAUACGUAGGGGGCGAGCGUUGUCCGGAUUUACUGGGCGUAAAGAGCGCGUAGGCGGUUUGGCAAGUUGGCUGUUAAAUACCUGGGCUUAACCCAGGCAGGUCGGCCGAGACUGCUGGACUUGAGGGCGGUAGAGGAAGGUGGAAUUCCGGGUGUAGUGGUGAAAUGCUUAGAGAUCCGGAGGAACACCAGUGGCGAAGGCGGCCUUCUGGGCCGUACCUGACGCUGAGGCGCGAAAGCGUGGGUAGCGAACUGAAUUAGAUACUCAGGUAGUCCACGCCCUAAACGAUGGACGCUAGGUGUAGGGGGUAUCGACUCCUCCUGUGCCGAAGCUAACGCAUUAAGCGUCCCGCCUGGGGAGUACGGCCGCAAGGCUAAAACUC